This 470-nucleotide ribosomal RNA is filed under the name uncultured bacterium. RNAcentral's name for it is "SSU rRNA". It matches the Rfam family "Bacterial small subunit ribosomal RNA", at positions 26 to 518 of the family's 1533-position model. The record is from RNAcentral.
AGGACGAACGCUUGCGACGUGCCUAAGAAAUGCAAGUCGAACGGGGUCAUCCUUCGGGGUGGCCUAGUGGCGAACGGUCGCGUAACACGUGGGCAACCUGCCCUGAAGCGGGGGACAACACACCGAAAGGUGUGCUAAUACCGCAUGUGAAUCGUGGUGGCAUCACCGAGGAUUCAAAGCCGCAAGGCACUUCAGGAUGGGCCCGCGGCCUAUCAGCUAGUUGGUGAGGUAACGGCCCACCAAGGCUUCGACGGGUAGCUGGUCUGAGAGGACGAUCAGCCGGAUUGGGACUGAGAUACGGCCCAGACUCCUACGGGGGCAGCAAUUAGGAAUCUUGCGCAAUGGGCGAAAGCCUGACGCAGCGACGUCGCGUGAAGGAUGAAAUCUUUCGGGAUGUAAACUUCUUUUUCGGGAAGAACAAAUGACGGUACCCGAAGAAUAAGCCCGGCUAACUACGUGCCAGCAGCCGC